AUACGGAGGGUGCAAGCGUUAAUCGGAAUUACUGGGCGUAAAGCGCACGUAGGCGGUAAGUUAAGUCAGAUGUGAAAGCCCCGGGCUCAACCUGGGAACUGCAUUUGAAACUGGCUUACUCGAGUUUGGUAGAGGAAAGUGGAAUUCCGGGUGUAGCGGUGAAAUGCGUAGAUAUCCGGAGGAACACCAGUGGCGAAGGCGACUUUCUGGACCAAAACUGACGCUGAGGUGCGAAAGCGUGGGUAGC
Molecule: ribosomal RNA, 247 nt
Filed under: uncultured bacterium
Lineage: Bacteria
Description: partial 16S ribosomal RNA
Rfam family: Bacterial small subunit ribosomal RNA
Source: RNAcentral